This is a long non-coding RNA of Hydractinia symbiolongicarpus, 2052 nucleotides long. RefSeq lists it as uncharacterized. The record is from RefSeq and is a predicted model, not a curated record. NCBI's taxonomy places the organism in Eukaryota, Metazoa, Cnidaria, Hydrozoa, Anthoathecata, Hydractiniidae. The transcript is spliced from 2 exons.
AAAAGAUUCUUCGAAAAUAAAUCUCUUUCCUUAUAUAUAUAUUUUUUACUAUAACCUUUUUCACUAUUAUUAUUUUCACUUUAUUUUUUACUUGAAGGUGGAAAAAUAUCGAAGAAGGAAAAUUUUCACGUUGCUUUGAGAGAAGAUAUAAUGAAACUUAAACAAUGGAAUAUAAAAUUACAACAACAGUAUUAACAAUUAAAAGUAGCUUCUAACACAUCUCAGCUAAGAAGAGAAAGUUCGUUUUCAUCAUGAGAUUUAUGUUGAAAUUUUUUUGAGAAUCACAAGUGGUGAAUACUUGGGAUAUUUAUUUUAUAUUAAAUUUGUAAAGAACGUCUAAUGGAAGAAAAACCAGAAUUUUGAAUUUCAUAUCCUAUUAGGUAUUAGACUUUGAUAUUUAAUUCCGUUGGAGGGGUAUAAUUUAAAUUGUUGGGUCAAAUGAAAAAGAAGAAGAAGAAGAAGAAGAAGAAGAAGAAGAAGAAGAAGAAGAAGAAGAAGAAGAAGAAGAAGAAGAAGAAGAAGAAGAAGAAGAAGAAGAAGAAGAAGAAGAAGAAGAAGAAGAAGAAGAAGAAGAAGAAGAAGAAGAAGAAGAAUGUUUAUAGCAUGUAAAGGCCAUUUCUUUAUUUUGUUUUUUAAAGAAACUAGUUUUGCAACAAUCGAUAACUUCGUGAGGCAGUGUAAAAAUUUAAGUUAUCCCUUUAGCAUUCUAUUAGAAGAAUGUUGUUACUUGCACGUCAUUAGCUUGUUAAUGACAACAGUUAAUGACGACAGUUAAAGACGACAGUUAACGACGGCAGUUAACGACGUUACUACUCACUUUUUGGACCGUGUUUUACAUUGCUACCAUGGCGACUGGUAAGUUAUUUCUUAAGUAAAUCAUUUCUCCGAGAGCAUACUAAUUUGGUUGUGUACUUCGGAAACUGGUAUUGUAAAAAAACGUCCUAACAAUUUAAAUCCAACGGUUGCAAUCGGUGAGAAAGCAUUUGUAAUGCGCAUUAGAAGAUAAAUAUCCGGCACUUUGAUUACAUUAGAGAUGCUUAAGUUUUUACAUAGCAUUCAUUGUUUCUAAGAACUUCUGCUUUGAAACGUAUAUUUAAAACAAUUUGUGUAACAUUUUAAGAUGUUUAUAAAUAUGCAUGUUUAGGGUUUCAUUUCAGAUCGGUAAGAUGCCAUAACUGAGGAGAAGGAGAUGUCAAACCACUAUGAUUGGAACCCAUACUAUUGUUAUUAUCACCAUUAUUUACGCAGGGUAGCCUGUUCAGUUUCUAUAGGAAGUGUUAUUAUUGAGGGUCCUGGAAAGAGGUUCCUAGAGGAUAUAAAGCUUCCAUUUGAGCUACGGAAGUCGUUCAAGCACAACAACCGCUCAAUUAGGCAACCGCCUAAGAUAGAAAUCCUAUUCUCAUGCUAAACAAGAAGCAGAAAGGAUUGAUUCACACUUUUAUAGGCUCUUACAUGACUCGGUCGGGGUUUGAACCCAAGACCUCCGGGAGGCGAACGCUUUACCACAAAGUUACUAGUCGUUAAAAAUAAAGUUCCUCUACGGCUGAUUUUUUGGAUAAACUUAAAUUUUCUAAUUUUAGGCUCUAAACAACAAAAAUAUCAGCUUAAAGUCACAAAGUGGCGAGAAAGAACUGAUUUUAAAACAGAAAGCUGUUAUUGCAGAAUUUCAAGUUUACCAUUAUCAAAUGUUACUCUGGAGAAAACUGAAUUACCUGAGCAAAUUUCUAGAAAUUGUUAGAAAAGGGUUUGACAUGGAUAUUCAAUAAAGUGUUUCGGUAUGAAUAUGAAUAGAAGUUGAAUGAGAAAUAGUAAAUACAGCUUUUAAACAUUGUUUGUAACCACCCAAGAUAUUAUAAUUAUAUCUUGAAUUGGGAAAAUAUAUGAAUGAAUUGUUUGCACAAACGAAUAAGAAAUUUUAUUUUUACUGUCUAUGGAAGGCUUAUCUGCAAGAAACAUACAAUGUUUUUAGAGUUUUUUGGCGAUAAAAGGGAGAAAAAACCAUUCACUCUGUAUCGAUUUUUUAAUAAUAUGAAAUAGAUAUAAGAAAUAUUA